GGUUUGUCUGAAGGUAGUUAUCUCAAUUGAUUGUUCAGUCAGUUACAGAUGGAACUCCUUGUUCUACUCUUUCCCGCCUUCUCACUACUGCACUUGACUAGUGUAAA
Pongo abelii (Sumatran orangutan) is the source of this 107-nucleotide Y RNA. It matches the Rfam family "Y RNA". From Rfam's summary of the family: Y RNAs are components of the Ro ribonucleoprotein particle (Ro RNP), in association with Ro60 and La proteins. The record is from Ensembl. Lineage: Eukaryota; Metazoa; Chordata; Mammalia; Primates; Hominidae.